Molecule: transfer RNA, 73 nt
Filed under: Actinomycetota bacterium
Lineage: Bacteria; Bacillati; Actinomycetota
Description: tRNA-Thr
Rfam family: tRNA
About the family: Transfer RNA (tRNA) molecules are approximately 80 nucleotides in length. Their secondary structure includes four short double-helical elements and three loops (D, anti-codon, and T loops). Further hydrogen bonds mediate the characteristic L-shaped molecular structure. tRNAs have two regions of fundamental functional importance: the anti-codon, which is responsible for specific mRNA codon recognition, and the 3' end, to which the tRNAs corresponding amino acid is attached (by aminoacyl-tRNA synthetases). tRNAs cope with the degeneracy of the genetic code in two manners: having more than one tRNA (with a specific anti-codon) for a particular amino acid; and 'wobble' base-pairing, i.e. permitting non-standard base-pairing at the 3rd anti-codon position.
Source: RNAcentral
GCCGGAGUAGCUCAGUUGGUAGAGCGCUCGCCUUGUAAGCGAGUGGGCGUCGGUUCGAGUCCGACCUCCGGCU